UUUGAUGAGAAGGGGUUCAAGGCUGUGAUGAAAGAGGGUAUGCAUUUAGCAGCAGCUCCUAACAUUGGUGAUUAUAUUCCUUAUGUUGGUGCACUUGACCUUAAAGGGCUAAAAAAGAGAAUGAAGGUGGUGAACAAAAUCUUUGAUGACUUCUUUGACAGAGUUAUUGAUGAGCAUAUGAAAUCAGAUAGCAGAGAAGACAAAAUCAAGGAUUUUGUGGAUGUCAUGUUAGGCUUUGUUGGUACCGAAGAAUCUGAAUACCGUAUCGACCGUCCCAACAUCAAAGCCAUAUUGCUGGUAAAUGGAAUUACAUUGUUGAGCUUUUCCUCAUACUAAUAUAUAUACUACACACAGCUACACACACAUAUAUAUAUACCUUUUAAGGUUAAAUACUUAACAUAAGAGCUGCAAGCACUGUCAUGGAAUUAAUGCUUUAGAAAAUACAUAAACCUAUGAUAAAGGCACAUAAAAAGCUUAAAUAAGCUUUUAGUCGAUGAAAGUAUACUAAGUUUUGGUUUUAGUCCAUAUCUUUAAUAUUGAUCAGUCAAUGAUGAAAAGCGUAUUUAAGCUUGUAUCACACAGUUUAAAUGGGAGGGGAAAAGGUAGAGGAUGAAUCUACACAUCAGAAUCACACACCUAAGUUUAAAGCUUUGGAGUGAUAUUAAUUGAUCUACAAGAGUGUUGGCUCCUUAAACUGACUUUCAAAACUACAUGUCACAGGUCUCAAUUUACAUGUUCCUCUGACACUGUUGUGAUUCUUUUUAUAUUUUUUGCAUAGGAUAUGCUGGCAGGUUCAAUGGACACUUCUGCUACAGCAAUUGAGUGGGCGUUUUCAGAGCUCAUGAGGCAUCCAAGGGUGAUGAAGAAACUUCAAAUGGAAUUGGAAACUGUGGUUGGUAUGAAGAGGAAGGUGGAUGAAUCAGACUUGGACAAGCUGGGGUAUUUGAACAUGGUUAUAAAGGAAAGCAUGAGGCUCCAUCCAGUGGCACCGUUAUUAAUACCACACCAAUCUAUGGAAGAUUGCAUAGUUGAAGAUUAUUUCAUACCAAAAAAAUCCAAGGUUAUAAUAAAUGCAUGGGCAAUUAUGAGAGACCCAAGUGCUUGGUCUGACCCAGAAAAGUUCUGGCCAGAGAGGUUUGAGGGAAGCAACAUCGAUGUCAGAGGGCGUGACUUCCAACUGAUACCAUUUGGGUCUGGAAGAAGGGGCUGUCCUGGACUGCAAUUAGGUCUAACUAUGGCUCAUUUAGUGGUGGCACAGCUUGUGCAUUGCUUUGAUUGGAAGCUAACAAAUGACAUGUUGCCAAUUGAUUUGGACAUGACUGAGCAUUUUGGCCUCUCAAUGCCUAGGGCCAAGCAUCUAGUUUGUAUUCCGGCUUAUCGGCUUCAUGAUGAAAAGGAUUAGGGAAAGAUGUAUUAAGUAACAUUUUAUGUUUCAUUAGAUCGAUAUGAAUAAGGUUAAGGGUAAAAUAAAUCAUCCUGUAUUCCUUUCCCUUCCUUCUCACAUUAAGAAUUGCAUUUCUAUCUAUGAAAAAUAUUGUUUUUCUUGCAUAGUGGAGACAAGACACGAAAACCAUAUGUUUGACCACUACUACUUUCAAACCAAUAAGAAGAAUAAGAAUUCCUUAUGUUCUUUUUAUCACAAUGUGGCUCCGUUCCCAGUGUUUCUUUGCAAAUAGCUUAAAUCCCAUUGAUUCCAUCUUAAAAAAUUUCUUCAUGAGUUAGUAGUCCUUGCUUAGAAUGAGAAGUCAAGUCAUCUAGCAUAUCAUAUAUAUGCAAGGUUUCAGGGUGAUCUCUAUCUUCAACAGUAAAUAUAAGAGAUUUCCCGUUCACUUGAAUAAUGCUUUGUCCGGGAGAUUUCCUCACUUGAAGAUAUCUCAUCUUUCUUCUUAUAGCUGCAACUCCAUCCCACAUUUCAGCAGUUGCAUAUAUGUUAGCCAUCUCCACGUAUGGAACUGCCACAUGGGGCUCCAGUUCAAAUAGCCGUUCAGACACAUACUUGCCCAACUCCAUCUUACCAUGAAGUUUGCAAGCAGAUAGUAAUGCACUCCAUAUGCCAGCAUCUGGUCGAAGAGGCAUACUUUCAAUAAUUUCUAAAGCUUCUCCAAGUUGUCCUCUACGACCAAGAAGAUCAACCAUACACGAAUAAUGGUCUAUACCAGGGCAUAUGCCAUAUUUUUUAGUCAUCAUGUUGAAGUACUCCAAUCCUCUACCGAGUAAACCUCCAUGUGCACAAGCUUGGAGAACUGCAAGAAAUGUUACGUGGUUUGGUUUCAUUCCCAUGUCCAACAUCAUAGAGAAGAGAUUAAGAGCAUCAUUGACAUCUCCAUUUAAAGCACAAGCAGUAAUCAUGGUUGUCCAGGAGACAACAGUUUUGUUAGCCAUGUUGCAGAAAAGCUCCCGAGAAUCAUUAAAACUUCCACACUUUGCAUACAUGUCAAUUAGUGCGUUACAGACUACAACAUUAUUUUUCAAUCCUUUGUCAAUAGAGUAUUUGUCAAUCCAUUUUCCAAGUUCAAGUGCCCCUGUUUGGCCACAACCCGAAAUCAAAGCAAGCACAGUAACCAUAUCUGGUUUCUCACCGGUAGCUUCCAUUGUAUUAAACAAUGUCAAUGCCUCGUCCAUGUAUCCUUUCUCAGCAUACGCACUAAUAAUUACAGUCCAUGAUAUACAAGUUCUGUUAGACAUGCCAUCAAACAAAAACCGUGCAGAAUAAACAUCCCCACACUUGGAAUACAUAGAAAUAAGAGUAUUCACCACACAUACAUCAUAAUCACAACCCAACUGAACUCCAUGAGAAUGUAUUAGCAAACCUUGAAAUAAUGCUUUAGGCUGCACAAAUGACGAAAGUAAAUUCAGAAUUGUGCUAAUGUCAGGGGAAAACCCAUCAUCUAGCAUCCCUUCGUAACAAUAAAAAGCCUUGACAUCCUUUUCAAAAUUUGCAUAUGCCGCAAUCAUGGAAUUCCAUGAGACAACAGACCUCAGAUAACAAUCAAUAUCAUCAAACACUCUUUCCGCUGAACAUAAGUCCCCACAUUUGGCAUAUGCAGCAACUAAAGUGUUAGCUAUAGAAACGUCAACACAAACUCCAGCACAAAUCCCAAAAGAAUGUAUCACACUCACGAGUUUCGGAUUUUCCAAAUGCGAAAUCGCAUGAAUCAGGAGCAAGACAGUGACCGAAUCAGGAUGAAUCCCAGUAAGUCUCAUCUGGUAUAAAAGACACAACAAUCUAUCAACAUACCCAUGCUGAGCAAAACCUAACAGCAUUGCAUUCCAAGAAGCAAUGUCUCUCAUGGGCAUGUCAACAAACACAUUGUAUGCACAUUCCAAUUCACCACAUUUAAUGUACAUAUCAACCAUGGAAGUUUGCACAAAAACAUUCCAUCGAAACCAUGAUUUGGCAACAUGGGCAUGGAUAAUUUGUGAGUUCCUAAGAUGGGAUAAUCUAGCACAGGCUUUUGCUACAAAGGGAAAAGUUGAAUUGUUGGGUGUAACGCCACUUCGCUUCAUUUGGCGGAAAAGAAAAAGGGCUUUUUGGGCAUGGCCUUGAUUCACAGCUUGUCUUAUAUUGGAGUUCCAAAUGGAAAGGGUUGAGAAAUUUGAUAAACGGUUCAUGUAAAGAGAAACAGUAUAUAUAUCUUAGUAGUAGGGGAUUCUAUUCAACAAGUUAAAACCCACCAAUCAACUUCAUAUGACAAUUUGAUGAGUUUAAAAUCUGGAUAAAACCCCAAACAAGACACAUUAUUUAUGUUUUAUUACUAAGAAAGUGUUCUCCAAUUCAAAGUUAGUAUCACUGUUGGCAACUGAAUUCGUUGGUGUUGCCUCAUAAGAAGACUGAAACGAAAGUAUGAAACCAUAAACACUGCGAUGCUGAUGCAGACAAUUUCCUUAAAAGCUCUAAUACAUUCCUUUCUUUUGGUCUAGUAGUAGCAGUACAAACAUCUACAAGUUCGGGUUUGCAGAAUACCUUUUUGGUUCUCAUUUAGGAUUGUAUUUAGGGGUUAAAAUGUGCUUUAACUCAAUAAGGUUUAGUGGUGUAAGGCUACUAAAAUGUCAAUGGUUUGAAUCUGAUGAAGAACACUUAUUAUGGUACACAUCUGUUGUAUUAUAAGGUGUAUUACUGCAUGUGUCAUGGACUUAUUGAACAAUUCCUCAAGACCCAUGAUCAUGUCUUUGCUAGUAGACCACCUGUUGAGGCUGCAAAGUAUAUAGCUUGGGAGCAGAAGAACUUGACCUUUGGUGAAUAUGGCUCCUAUUGGCGCAACAUGCGUAAAAUGUGCACCUUGGAACUACUAAGCCAUAGCAAAAUCAUCUCCUUCAAAAGCAUGAGGCAAGAGGAGCUUGACCUCUUCAUAAAGCUUCUAAGAGAUGCAGCUAAUGAUAUUGCUGCUGUUGAUAUAAGUGCCAAGAUUUCAACACUUGCUGCAGGUAUGAGCUGUAGAAUGGUUCUAGGGAGAAAGUACAUGGAUAACGAGUUUGAUGAGAAGGGGUUCAAGGCUGUGAUGAAAGAGGGUAUGCAUUUAGCAGCAGCUCCUAACAUUGGUGAUUAUAUUCCUUAUGUUGGUGCACUUGACCUUAAAGGGCUAAAAAAGAGAAUGAAGGUGGUGAACAAAAUCUUUGAUGACUUCUUUGACAGAGUUAUUGAUGAGCAUAUGAAAUCAGAUAGCAGAGAAGACAAA
RNAcentral lists this long non-coding RNA (4676 nucleotides) under Lupinus angustifolius (narrow-leaved blue lupine). RNAcentral describes it as "long non-coding RNA (LANG_LNC002002)". Lineage: Eukaryota; Viridiplantae; Streptophyta; Magnoliopsida; Fabales; Fabaceae. The record is from RNAcentral.